UUUUUGAAUAAUUCUAGGUCCAUGAGGGUGCAUUUGGUUCUGUUGGUGAUGAUCAGUCACUUCGUAAUUACUUGGAAUCUCUGGGACAACAUCAGUAACAAGCAUGUCUGUAGUUGGUCAUCAAAGAGAGAGAGGUAGGGCAUUAAAGCAUCAAUUCAAGCUUGGUGAGCAGCUUGGUAAGCUUCUGUUUCUUCCUAGUCAGCCUUAG
RNAcentral lists this long non-coding RNA (208 nucleotides) under Rosa chinensis. RNAcentral describes it as "sRNA RchiOBHm_Chr4g0420231". Lineage: Eukaryota; Viridiplantae; Streptophyta; Magnoliopsida; Rosales; Rosaceae. The record is from RNAcentral.